This 381-nucleotide ribosomal RNA is filed under the name Oplisa tergestina. Its description in RNAcentral is "partial 16S ribosomal RNA". Lineage: Eukaryota; Metazoa; Arthropoda; Insecta; Diptera; Rhinophoridae. The record is from RNAcentral.
UCGAAGGUAGCAUAAUCAGUAGUCUUUUAAUUGAAGGCUAGUAUGAAUGGUUGGACGAAAUAUUAACUGUUUCAUAAAAAUUUAAAAUAAAAUUUUAUUUUUUAGUUAAAAAGCUAAAAUAAAUUUAAAAGACGAGAAGACCCUAUAAAUCUUUAUAUUUAAUUUAUUAUAAUUUUAUAGAUUAGUUUUGUUAUAAUAAAUAAUAAUAUUUUAUUGGGGUGAUAUUAAAAUUUAACUAACUUUUAAUUUUAAAAUCAUUAAUUUAUGAAUAAUUGAUCCAUUAUUAGUGAUUAAAAAAAUAAGUUACUUUAGGGAUAACAGCGUAAUUUUUUUGGAGAGUUCUUAUCGAUAAAAAAGAUUGCGACCUCGAUGUUGGAUUAA